GAUGAAGAACGUAGCGAAAUGCGAUAAGUAAUGUGAAUUGCAGAAUUCAGUGAAUCAUCGAAUCUUUGAACGCACAUUGCGCCCCUUGGUAUUCCGAGGGGCAUGCCUGUUCGAGCGUCAUUUGUACCCUCAAGCCUUGCUUGGUGUUGGGCGUCUUGUCUCUAGCUUUGCUGGAGACUCGCCUUAAAGUAAUUGGCAGCCGGCCUACUGGUUUCGGAGCGCAGCACAAGUCGCACUCUCUAUCAGCAAAGGUCUAGCAUCCAUUAAGCCUUUUUUUCAACUUUUGACCUCGGAUCAGGUAGGGAUACCCGCUGAACUUAAGCAUAUCAAUAAGCGGAGGA
Molecule: unclassified non-coding RNA, 341 nt
Filed under: soil metagenome
Description: partial contains 5.8S ribosomal RNA, internal transcribed spacer 2, and large subunit ribosomal RNA
Rfam family: 5.8S ribosomal RNA (bases 1-120)
Source: RNAcentral